GACUCUCGGCAACGGAUAUCUCGGCUCUCGCAUCGAUGAAGAACGUAGCAAAAUGCGAUACUUGGUGUGAAUUGCAGAAUCCCGUGAACCAUCGAGUCUUUAAACGCAAGUUGCGCCCGAAGCCAUCCGGCCUAGGGCACGCCUGCCUGGGCGUCACGCAUAG
RNAcentral lists this ribosomal RNA (163 nucleotides) under Pinguicula lignicola. RNAcentral describes it as "5.8S ribosomal RNA". It matches the Rfam family "5.8S ribosomal RNA". From Rfam's summary of the family: 5.8S ribosomal RNA (5.8S rRNA) is a component of the large subunit of the eukaryotic ribosome. It is transcribed by RNA polymerase I as part of the 45S precursor that also contains 18S and 28S rRNA. Functionally, it is thought that 5.8S rRNA may be involved in ribosome translocation. The record is from RNAcentral. Lineage: Eukaryota; Viridiplantae; Streptophyta; Magnoliopsida; Lamiales; Lentibulariaceae.